This 218-nucleotide unclassified non-coding RNA is filed under the name uncultured Tomentella. RNAcentral's name for it is "sequence contains ITS2". The record is from RNAcentral. Lineage: Eukaryota; Fungi; Basidiomycota; Agaricomycetes; Thelephorales; Thelephoraceae.
ACACCUCAACUCUCACGGUUUGCCGUGGUGAGCUUGGAUGUUGGGGGUUUUGCUGGCCUGUGGUCGGCUCCUCUCAAACAAAUCAGCUUUCCAGUGUUUGGUGGCACCAUGGGUGUGAUAACUAUCUACGCUCGUGACUGUCUGCCAGGUAACCUUCCGCAAUGGGGGUUUGCUGGAGCUCACAAAUGUCUCUCCUCAGUGAAGACAGCCUUUUAAAC